AAUAUUUUUCGAUUUUACAAAAAGUUUUGAAGUAUGAUUGCAUAGAUGUUAUUAAACUUGAUUAGUUUUUCCAAUGACUAAUUUGGGAUUUAUAUUGCUUAUGUGUAUGCAUAUCUAUGUGUUUGUUUGUUGAUGUAGUUUAGUUCUAUAUGAGCGACAAGUCGAGAGUAGCAUUAGUGAUUACUUAAGUAGCGUUAUACUUAUGAGAUUGAGAUAGUUGGAGUGUAGUAAUGAGGAGUGACAGAAUAGUACUAAGAUAUGAAGAGCAUUCUUAGUAAGAAGGUUCCUAACCGAUUUCUUUUAUCUUAGCCCAUGGAUUAUCUUCGAUGUUAUGAUAUCAGAAGAUACGAGUAGAGGACGGAAGUGAGUUCGCCUCGAGUGCUAUGAGAGUAAGCUAAGAUCUUCAGGUAGGGCAUUACUUUUACUAUACGUAUAUAGAGAUCCCCUGCGUAUCGUAGGCCUCUUAUCCGAAUAUAUGCAUGAGAUGAUUUAACUGCUAAUUUCAGUUUUUUAUAAAGUUCAAAUGAUGAAUGACUCUUUAUGAAAUGAUAUGAAAUAUUUAUGAAAUGAUUGUCUGCCAAAAAUAUUUAUGUUUUACGUAUGUAUCCUAUAUGUGUUGGUUCGCCAACUUUAAAGGAAAUCCAAUUGGGACCCUAUGCUAGAUGAAGGUAUGCUAGUACGGAUUAACGUGGACACUCAUGGAGACCGCGAGUCGCUUGCGACCGGUCUCGGCGUCCGUGGAAGGAGGCCUCAUCCCCGGCGCGUGACAGAAAAGACAGAUAUGGAACAUAUGAAAGGAAAAUGUGACUGUUGGAUUUGUAUACUGAAAGCAAGAACGUUUUAUGCUUGUAUACAAUGUUUCCUGUGUUCACUAUUUUCUCUCCUAUCUGAUUGUGUUCAUGAUUGCAUAUGUAUGUCAUUUAUCUCUACAUAAGUUAAUUAUAUGGUGAUUAACGGAUCACAGAAGGUCAUAUGAUUGGAAUAAACUUAAGAGAUAUAAAUAGAUCACAACCGAGAUGACUCUAGGACGAGUCGUUGGUCUAGGCUUGCAGUAUAUAUGGAAAUAGUUUGUCUUGACUAUUUGUAUAUACUGGUACGUCAUAACGUAUUGAUAGGAUCACAGUGAGAUGUAUUCUUCUAUCUGACAUAAGUGAAGAAUCAAGAUCUCGGUGACUUAAUAGAAUCUUAAUACUAAUAAGAUUUCAGAUAUAUAUGUUGAUUCAUGUAUCACUUUGAUUUACUAUGGGUGAGAGUUAUAUAUUAACUUGAGUACUCUGUAUCUUGGGUGAUAGCGGUCAAUAUAUGAUAUUUGGUUAUCUGUAUUAGUACCCGUAUCCGGUAUAGGAUAAUGACAUCCCCUUAAGGAACUCAAUAAGGUUUAUUGCGUUAAACCCUGCAGGUUGAUUAAGUUCAGACGCAAUAAUAAGGUUUGAGUGGUACUGCUUAAGGAUUAUAAAGAGAUUAAUUAAUUUAAGCUGUCAGAGCUUUAAUUAAUUAAUGGAUGUCGGAUAUUUUAAAUACGGAGAUUUAAUAAGUCUAAAUACAAGCCCCGACUCAUCAUCGGUAAUAAAGGGGUAAGUCAGUAUUGAUUCUCUAGUGGAAUGAAUUAAUACUUAUGAAUUAAUUAUGAUCUGAGCUGAUCAUAAGAAUUAAUUCAUUAGAAGCCCAUCUUUAUUUCUUGUAUCUGAUCCCUGGACUGGCCCAAAGUCUCCUGAGCCCAGUAGGAGUAAAAUUCUCCCACUACAGUUAUUGGUGUCCUAGGACUAUGUUUUGUCUAUAAAUACAGCUAUAUGCUCUCAGGAUAAGACACACAAAUAAUCAGGGUUUUAGAGAGUAGUAGAGGGCGCCGUUUGUAAGUGGCCGAAUUCUUCUUGGGAAUUCUCAUAGCUCGUUGUCCAUCCAACGUUGGGAGUUGAGCGGGAUACCGGAUACAGUUCAGAAGGUCAGAACUGGAGUAUUUCAAUUCAACCAUCGACAGUAUCUACAUACAAUUCACAACUUUUGGAAAAAAGGCUCAGUUUUGGGAAGAGUUUAUUAAGUCGUGAAGAUGAAAAGAGAAAGUUGUGCGUGUAUACUGGACGGGAUGCCCAUACCGCCUGAAUAUCCGAACUGAAUUGAUUGUUCGUUGAAGUGGCGAGAAGAGUGAUUACGUGGCUGCCUACUUUGACUUUUAUUGGGCUUAUCUAUAUUGUUUUGGGCCUAUGCGCCUAUUUUAUGUCCUUUUAGGUUAGAUUAGGUUUCUUUAUUAUUAGUGCUAUAUAUAUUAGCAUUAGUUGUUUUUUAAAUAAGACACAAAACGCCACUUUUUAGAGAGCAGCCUGGGGACGUGAACUUCAGCAAAUUAUUCAAGUUUUUCCUUUCUUUUAUUUCUCGCCACUUUUAUUUUAUUUUCUUUAUUUAUUUUUGUAUGAGUUUUAGUUAAUUUCGUUUAUUCCAGCAACGAUUAGGGAAGCACUAGCAAGAUAUUCUGUGAGAUCUAAUUUGUUCUUAUACUUUAUUUUAUGCUUGUAUCUGUGAUUCUCCGUGUUUAUCGUUAUUAAUUGUUUUAAUCCAUUAGGUAGUGCGCAAUAUUUAGUGGGUUAGAAUUAAUUAUACAGCCAAUUGAAUCGGCCAUCCGUAAUUGUGGUUUAGGUUUGAUUAGUGGUAAAUUGACACAUCAGGGUCAAGGGAAAAGCAGUCUUAAUUCAAUAAUCCUGCGUCAGAGUUUAUUGGUUUUGAAUUGGGUUUCUCUAGUAAUUAAUGUUGUCGGCUCAUUAAACCUAUAGAGCGUCUCUUACGGUUGUCAGUCGAUUAGGGUAGUAAUUAGUGAAGCGUCUUCCUGGUUACCGAAUAAUUAAGGAGAAAUAAGAUCACGUCAGAAGCGUCUUCGGUGAUUAUAACUGGUUUGCUUGCAUGAAUUAAAGUUAUAUUUGCAUCAAUGAUCAGAAUAAUUAAGCUAGGGUGGACUUAAUUGAUUGCUGGAAUUCUUUAUUAAUUGUUUGAUUUUUCUAUUUAUUUAUUUAGUAUUAGAACCAUUGCAAUUCUUUUGGAUUUUAUUUAUUUAUUUUUAGAUUUAGUAUUGUAAUACCCCGCAGUUUUCCUUAUUAUUUAUUUUGAGGAUUCGCUAUUAGAGUAUCGAGAUUCUAGCAUUAGCUUAUUAGGGAUGGAAUUUUUUUUUAUAAGAUUGAGAUGUGAGUAUUUAGAAGUUGAUGAUAGAACUAAUGAGAUUUUGAUAGAAAUGCUGAUUAAAUUGAGGAGAUAAUGUAGUUUAUGUUUCCGAUAAAGGAAGCUUAAUUAUUUUUGAGACAAUUUAUAGUGUUAUGUUAAGAGGAUACCUGGCUAGAUAUAGAGCCGAGGUGAUAGAGUGAGACUUACUAUAGAGAUGAGUCGAAUUCAUGAGACAAUUAAAUUGUCGUUAGAUUUUGACUGAUUGAGAGGUCAUGUUUGAGUGAGAAUAAUUGUUUUUUUUGUGUGACCUAUGUGGUGAUAACAGUUGAGAUUGAUUGAUUUAUAAUUUUCUUGGACGUUGUAACAUAGAGAUAAUUUUUUUUUAAUGGUGAAUUGUGAUCUCACUUUUAUAUUAUAAUUUUUUCCUAUUGGAAUUUUCUUGAAUUUAUUUGAGCUGGAUGUGAUGUGAAUUAUGUGUAUUCUAAUUAUGAUUAAUUAUUUUGAUCACACCAUUACAUGAUAUUGGAUUUAUGAUAUUUAAUUAGAGGAUAAUUUCCUUGGCCUAACUUUUACUACACAUUUUUACCAUUUACAUUUAUUCUUUAAUUACCAUUUAGCUAAGGUUAUUUGUGCAAGUGGGCAAGUGGCAUAUGUAGUAUUGGAGAAGCUAAUUUUGGAUAAGAGAUCAAGUGGUCAAGUGGGCAUUUAUUAAUUGGAUGACUUAGUGAGCAAGAAUGUAGGAUUAAACAAAAUUUCAUCUCCCUCUUUCUCCCAAAACUUUCGACCCUCUCUACACUCUCUUUCUCCCUCACUUCUUUCUCUCACUUCCACCAUUGUUGAGCAAUGUUCAAGCUUCCAAGAUCACAUUUCCACCAUAGAUCUUCACUAAAUCAAAUCAAAACUUCAUGUCCUUUGAAUCAAGAGCAAGAUUGAUGGAGUUUCAAGCUUGAAGUUAGAGUGAAGAAUUUUUAUUUCUUUCAAAAUCAUUGAAUACGAGUAGAGAACGGAGGUAAGAUCGCCCAAGUACUACGAGAGUAAGCUAAGUUUGUCAGGUGGGCAUUAUUUUGAGUAUACAUAUUAUACGAGCUUUCUUAAAUAAUAUGAUAUUUAUGAUUAUGAUUUGAGUUAAUGUUAUGCUUGAAACUAAUUUACUUGCCAAGUUUUAAUGAUAAACUUGUAUGUACCCUCUACUGUUGAGACGAAUUCGGUCCUGCCACAAGUGGGAUUUUGUGCACAGAGGUGACUGUGAGCCGCGAUCGGGUCGGCCGGUCACGGUACUUGAGAGGGAGGCCUACUUCUCAGUACCUUUGAUGAUGAAUAGUAUAUGGUACAUGCAUAAUGAAUAUUUAAACUGCGCAGUUACUUUAUUGUGAUGUUUAUGGUUUGCGAAAUUGCUUGCACAGGUUCGUUUAUACUAAAAUCCCUGUGUGAUGCUUAUACUGUGGCAAGUUCAAUUUAUAGCUCUAAGAGCAAGCUUUCUAUUGUUUUUCGGCAUAUGUCCACUGAGUACUUUGUACUCAGCCCUGCAUGUAUUUCUAAAUGUACAAGAUAAGCGAGGAGGAGGAAGAUCGGUCUGGUGCUGGUGGGGACUUAUUUUGGACGACGUUGUUUCUUUUACCGUAUUUCUACUUCAUACGGUAGCCUUUUGAGGUUGGAUGUUUAUAUUUUGAUCUUAGUCAGGAAAUACACUCUCGGCUAUAUGUCUUAAUACAUAUAGUCUGAUCACGUUUUGCUGCGAGACUCUGUAAAUUAUAAACCUUUGUAAAUUUUUAACUAUGCCCGCUUUGUAAACUUUGUCCAGAAUCUCUGUACUUUUGAACUUAUGAAGCCGAUAAUAUUUGUGUCUUUGAGAUGAUGUUAUUGUUGUUCAUCUUUGCAUGUUUUGUUGUGAGCUUCCGCUUGUUGUUUGAUCUAGUUCUUCCUUCUUUACUUCAUUAUUUUAUUUAGUCGUAUCGAUAUCCGGUCUACGCUAUCACUGGCUAGACGUCGGGCUGCGACAAGUAUUUUCUUAUAUUUUCCCAUUAAUUUCAUUUUAGUUGAGUUUCUUUGCAGGUUGAGUUUUAGGAGAAUUCUCACCGAUCCCCUGGGAGUUGCUUGCUACUGUCUGCGCAGUGUGGGCAUAUCGGCUGACUGCCAGAUAUUUUUGGUGUAAAACGACGCAUCAAAGUUGAGCAGGCGAUGGAAUGGAUUUGUGUUGAGCGGAUUCUCUUUUGAUGAUUAAGUAAUGAAAUCUUGAGUAUGCAUCUUCAUAUGUAUAACCCACACGUAUUUCCGCUGCAACACUCUAAUUUUCGUUAUUGCUUCUAUAUGAACUUAAUACUAUUUUAUUUCGGAUGAUGUCA
Molecule: long non-coding RNA, 5489 nt
Organism: Salvia miltiorrhiza (redroot sage)
Lineage: Eukaryota; Viridiplantae; Streptophyta; Magnoliopsida; Lamiales; Lamiaceae
Exons: 4
Source: RefSeq, a predicted model, not a curated record